GCCGGGGUGGCGGAAUAGGUAGACGCAAGGGACUUAAAAUCCCUCGACGCUUUGCGUCGUGCCGGUUCAAAUCCGGCCCUCGGCA
This 85-nucleotide transfer RNA is filed under the name Candidatus Tectimicrobiota bacterium. Its description in RNAcentral is "tRNA-Leu". It matches the Rfam family "tRNA". Rfam says of the family: Transfer RNA (tRNA) molecules are approximately 80 nucleotides in length. Their secondary structure includes four short double-helical elements and three loops (D, anti-codon, and T loops). Lineage: Bacteria; Pseudomonadati; Candidatus Tectimicrobiota. The record is from RNAcentral.